Molecule: non-coding RNA, 205 nt
Filed under: Saccharothrix sp. ST-888
Lineage: Bacteria; Bacillati; Actinomycetota; Actinomycetes; Pseudonocardiales; Pseudonocardiaceae
Description: Streptomyces sRNA 4677
Rfam family: Streptomyces sRNA 4677
About the family: Located in the intergenic region between anti-sigma factor SCO4677 gene and a putative regulatory protein gene SCO4676. scr4677 expression requires the SCO4677 activity and scr4677 sRNA itself seem to affect the levels of the SCO4676-associated transcripts.
Source: Rfam by way of RNAcentral
GUGGCCGGUGGGCCACGUCGCUCCCCAAGAACCUGGUAGAGGACUCCCACCCAACCAACUGGCCACCCCAUCGGGUGACUUGGGCACGGCGGUGGGGAUGGUCCGGAUACGCUCGCGCAGACAACCCCAUACAUGGCUACGGCCCCCAGCCGGGAAGGCAAUCCCGAGCGAGGGCCUGACCACCCGGGAAGAAUCGAGCUUCCCG